UUGACUCACUCCUUGGUCUGCACCAAUCCUCACAUCCCUCAGGUCCUCUAACUUUCUGUAUCCAGAAAUCGACUCUUUGGUCUCUACGGCUCCAGAAGGCUCGCUCUUCAAGAAACGUUACACUACCUUCGGUUAGAAGUGGAUACAUAUAUGAUUUUGGCCUAAAGAAAUCUUUGCAAAAAGGGAGAAUGCAAACUUGUUCUUUUCCUUUUGGAUUUACGGAGUGCCAGUAUCAGGUGUGGUUCCAGGUUCCAGAUAGGGCUGUGGUGAGGUCUCGAGCCGACAAGCACAAGUCCAAUUGCCUCUUCUUUUGAACCAGAGUCUAUUGAGGAGUCUCUGAAAUGACAGCUGAUGGGUGUAGAGACCCACGCCCGGAAUCUCAGCAACUGAAGUGGUUGAAGCAGGAGCAUCUAGGCAGAGCUCGUAAGCAUCUCCAGCUUCUGACUUUGUUGCUGGUGUUAUGUGUUUUGUUUUGCUUUCUCAGAGGCUUUCUGGUGCAUCCAGACUGUGCCAGCUCCUUAUAGCCCUCCUUCAGCUCUCCAGCUUUUUGCCUAUGCAGUCUCUGCUCCUAGCCUUUCAUAACUAAUAAACUUUAAAAUUUAUAAACUCCAACAAAUGAAA
RNAcentral lists this long non-coding RNA (621 nucleotides) under Mus caroli (Ryukyu mouse). Its description in RNAcentral is "lncRNA (MGP_CAROLIEiJ_G0004927.1)". Lineage: Eukaryota; Metazoa; Chordata; Mammalia; Rodentia; Muridae. The record is from RNAcentral.